Molecule: unclassified non-coding RNA, 433 nt
Filed under: soil metagenome
Description: partial contains 5.8S ribosomal RNA, internal transcribed spacer 2, and large subunit ribosomal RNA
Rfam family: 5.8S ribosomal RNA (bases 1-120)
Source: RNAcentral
GAUGAAGAACGUAGUGAAAUGCGAUACGUAAUGUGAAUUGCAGAAUUCAGUGAAUCAUCGAAUCUUUGAACGCAUAUUGCGCUCUCUGGUAUUCCGGAGAGCAUGCUUGUUUGAGUAUCAGUAAACACCUCAACUUCCAUAUCUUUUUUGAAAUGGGAGUUGGACUUGAGUGAUCCCAACGCUUUUCCUCACCGAAAAGUGGCGGGUUACUUGAAAUGCAGGUGCAGCUGGACUUUUCUCUGAGCUAUAAGCAUAUCUAUUUAGUCUGCCUAAAAAACAGAUUAUUACCUUUGCUGCAGCUAACAUAAAGGAGAUUAGUUCUUGUGCUGACUGAUGCAGGAUUCACAAAGACAGGCUUCGGCCAACUUUGUAAACUCGAUCUCAAAUCAAGUAAGACUACCCGCUGAACUUAAGCAUAUCAAUAAGCGGAGGA